This 497-nucleotide ribosomal RNA is filed under the name uncultured bacterium. RNAcentral describes it as "partial 16S ribosomal RNA". It matches the Rfam family "Bacterial small subunit ribosomal RNA", at positions 28 to 507 of the family's 1533-position model. The record is from RNAcentral.
GAUGAACGCUGGCGGCGUGCCUAAUACAUGCAAGUCGAGCGAACAGACGAGGAGCUUGCUCCUCUGACGUUAGCGGCGGACGGGUGAGUAACACGUGGAUAACCUACCUAUAAGACUGGGAUAACUUCGGGAAACCGGAGCUAAUACCGGAUAAUAUAUUGAACCGCAUGGUUCAAUAGUGAAAGACGGUUUUGCUGUCACUUAUAGAUGGAUCCGCGCCGCAUUAGCUAGUUGGUAAGGUAACGGCUUACCAAGGCGACGAUGCGUAGCCGACCUGAGAGGGUGAUCGGCCACACUGGAACUGAGACACGGUCCAGACUCCUACGGGAGGCAGCAGUAGGGAAUCUUCCGCAAUGGGCGAAAGCCUGCCGGAGCAACGCCGCGUGAGUGAUGAAGGUCUUCGGAUCGUAAAACUCUGUUAUUAGGGAAGAACAAAUGUGUAAGUAACUAUGCACGUCUUGACGGUACCUAAUCAGAAAGCCACGGCUAACUACGUG